ACCUACGGGGGGCAGCAGUGAGGAAUAUUGGUCAAUGGGCGCAAGCCUGAACCAGCCAAGUCGCGUGAGGGAUGACGGUCCUAUGGAUUGUAAACCUCUUUUGUCGGGGAGCAAGGCCCGCCACGUGUGGCGGGAAGGAGAGUACCCGAAGAAAAAGCAUCGGCUAACUCCGUGCCAGCAGCCGCGGUAAUACGGAGGAUGCGAGCGUUAUCCGGAUUUAUUGGGGUUAAAGGGUGCGUAGGCGGAAGGUUAAGUCAGCGGUCAAAUGUCGGUGCUCAACAACGGCCUGCCGUUGAAAAUGGUCU
This 305-nucleotide ribosomal RNA is filed under the name uncultured bacterium. Its description in RNAcentral is "bacterial SSU rRNA". It matches the Rfam family "Bacterial small subunit ribosomal RNA", at positions 337 to 639 of the family's 1533-position model. The record is from RNAcentral.